UCCAGACUCCUACGGGAGGCAGCAGUGGGGAAUAUUGCACAAUGGGGGGAACCCUGAUGCAGCGACGCCGCGUGGGUGAAGGAGCACCUCGGUGCGUAAAGCCCUAUCGGCAGGGAAGAAAAGCGAACAGGUUCGCCUGGACGGUACCUGACUAAGAAGCCCCGGCUAACUACGUGCCAGCAGCCGCGGUAAUACGUAGGGGGCAAGCGUUAUCCGGAUUUACUGGGUGUAAAGGGAGCGUAGGUGGCAUGGUAAGCCAGAAGUGAAAACCCAGGGCUCAACUCUGUGGAUUGCUUUUGGAACUAUCAAGCUAGAGUGCUGGAGGGGUAAGCGGAAUUCCUAGUGUAGCGGUGAAAUGCGUAGAUAUUAGGAGGAACACCGGUGGCGAAGGCGGCUUACUGGACAGAAACUGACACUGAGGCUCGAAAGCGUGGGGAGCAAACAGGAUUAGAUACCCUUGUA
Molecule: ribosomal RNA, 462 nt
Filed under: uncultured bacterium
Lineage: Bacteria
Description: bacterial SSU rRNA
Rfam family: Bacterial small subunit ribosomal RNA
Source: RNAcentral